Long non-coding RNA from Uranotaenia lowii, 1957 nucleotides. RefSeq lists it as uncharacterized. The record is from RefSeq and is a predicted model, not a curated record. The transcript is spliced from 3 exons. NCBI's taxonomy places the organism in Eukaryota, Metazoa, Arthropoda, Insecta, Diptera, Culicidae.
AGUCUCAGCAACCGAAAUCGCAGUCCAAGUAACCUCGUGUGGACUAGGCUUUAAUGCGUCAAGUGUUUAUGCCAGUCAUCAUCGGAUCGGAAAACAACAAACAGCUGUCCGCGUUCGUAUUAUUUAUUUAACCACCGCGCACCGCCUAGAUUACACAUUAUAAAAAGCAGCCGUGACGGUACGGGAUUGUGUCCGAGGAGUCUUCCGUCUAUCGACCCGCUUCGUAUGAGACCGAUGCCAAUGUUACUGCGAAAUGACCGGUAAUUGUAGCCACAAAAACAACUCUACCCCCAAGCGUUAUUGUAGCAGAGAUUAUUAUGUUCCCAGGAAGCGCAGGAACGCAUUGGUUAGCCGCGAAUAUCCAGCUUUGAUUAGCUUAUUUCGGCGAAAUCAUUUCACGUUCCGAAACAUUCCCGACAAUCUCCGCUCGGCAGCCAAAGCGGCCUUAACCACCACCGCUUCAGUUCUGAUUCCAAGGAAAAUACAGCAAUAGUUCUGAGAAGCUUCGUACUCGAGUUAGAAUCGAGGGCAAUGCCUUUCGCGAUAUCCAACUUCCGGAUCCGAGGGUUCUACCAGUGAUAAAAGUUCCCUGCCAAGAUUCACGGCCACCCCUACUGACGUGUGAAAGAUUCCUUAAAAUGGACAAAGGAGUGUCGAUCUGAGCAAUAUGCAAAAUGCGUAGCACCAACAACAUCUCCGGUGUGGAUUUGAAGAUAAUGAAGAGGAAAAAAAAAGCAGCCCACUGCCCCGUCCCCCUUCUUGUGCGAUCCAUAUAAUCACCAGCUCGGUCUGAUCAUUUUCUCGAAGAACUCAUGACUAUACCGGGCAAAGUGGUUUGUCCUCGUAGAAUGACGUUCGCGUCCGAAUACUGUAAGAGCCGUCGGUAUUUUCGGGAUUUGGAAUUAGAGGAUCCCCUCAAACGGGCGGAGUGGUACUACAAAUGUUAAAGCAGAAAUAGGAGCGCUAUUACGAGGCGUAGCAAAAAGCUCCCAUAUCCCAACGACAAAAUAUGAUGCUCACCAAUCUAGCUGAAGAACAGAAACAGAUAGAAAAUUAAUAGUUCAUUCCUUCAAAGCUGAAGCAAAGUAGUAAUUUAGUUUAGACUUCAUUGCUUUGAACAAUUCUCGCAAGAUUAAGAGCAAGUGUUAGCUGAAAUUUAAAAGCCGAUUAUACGAGCUUUGAUUUUAAACGAUACGAGUCUAAAGCCUAGUCCACACUAGGCAACAUGAAUUGCGAUUUUUGUUAUGAGACGAACUUUGUUGUCUGUUGUUGUUGUUGGAAACCUGAGACGGUCUCAGUGUCUCCCGAAGAAAAUGGGAGACGCUGAGACCGUCUCGAGACGAACCGUCUCCUAGUGUGGACUAGGCUUAAGUAUACAAUAAUAAAUGUACUGUUGAUUUGUUUUUGUUUGCAUUCUGUUCUGCACUGCAUCAGCUACGUUUAUUUUGUUUUAAAAAAAACGGUUUUGUGGUCUCGGUCCGUUACCGCGGUUUUCGCAUACAAAUAAUCCGAUGUAGUAUCCCAGAUGGUUAAUUUAGAACUGCCUCGGUUAAUCCGGAUACCAUUCAAACGGAGUAUUCUUAAUUAAAUUUGACAUUCCAACAGACAACCGACCCAGGGUUGCAAAUUCAUGUAGGAAAAACCUAAUAAAUUUGGUUUGGUCUCCGGUCGUGGAUUGUAGCUUGUCGUACUGGAUGUUUCUCAGCUAAGGAGCAUUAAGCGACGUGCAUUAACUUCCUGUUGAGUCGACCUCAGGCUAGGCUCAAUAGAAUUCACCUUACAAAGUUGGGAGCCAUUUUCAUGCUGUCGUACUGGACGAUCUAUUCGAGGUUCCAAUGGGGGUUUCUAGGGUUGCAGCUGACAAAGAUUUUGUCGAAACGAAGGGAAAGAUGACGGAGGAAAUUGCAAUUGCUAGAAAAGAAACUAAAACCCGAUCCACUUUUCUAGAAAACAUACU